AUUUAAGUAGUUUAUAUAAAAUAUUGAUUUGUGGUAUCAAAGUAGUUAUUUAUUAACCUUAAAUA
Molecule: transfer RNA, 65 nt
Filed under: Coelophora saucia
Lineage: Eukaryota; Metazoa; Arthropoda; Insecta; Coleoptera; Coccinellidae
Description: tRNA-His
Source: RNAcentral